Long non-coding RNA from Helianthus annuus (common sunflower), 750 nucleotides. RefSeq lists it as uncharacterized. The record is from RefSeq and is a predicted model, not a curated record. The transcript is spliced from 3 exons. Lineage: Eukaryota; Viridiplantae; Streptophyta; Magnoliopsida; Asterales; Asteraceae.
GCAUUGAUGUUUCCAUUCAUGGUGGGCGUUGGCCUCCCAAAUUGUGUUCCCUUGCAAUAGGGGGGUUGAAGAAGCCCAUAUCAGAGUGGGGGGAUCUGAAUUUUCCAACUUCCCUUGUUGACCUAACGUUAUAUGGUGAACCCCAUGUGAGGAAUUAUAGUCAACUGUCCCACCUUUUCCCUUCUUCUCUUACUAAACUGGAAAUAGUAAGAUUUGAUAAUCUGGAAUCACUAUCAACGGGACUCCAACACCUCACAUCCCUUCAACAUCUGGACAUUGAAGAUUGUCCAAAGGUGAACGAUCUACCAGAGACGCUGUUACCUUCACUUUUGAGUUUGGAAAUAGAUGAAUGCCCAAAAUUGAAAGAAAGGUGUGAAGGAAGAGGCUCCCACUACUGGCCCCUCAUCUCUCAUAUCCCCUGCAUCGACAUAAGUGACUGGUAAAGUCAUUGAAAACAGACCCCUCAUCUCUCAUAUCCCCAAAAUCCAAAUAGAGUGGAGGACCCUCUAACCAUGAAAUUUUAAAGGAUGAACAUUCACAGUUGAACGAGACAUAUGAGAGAACAGAGAAAAGUCUCAACCUAUGAAUGAGAGAUUUUGGCAAUGUAAUCUUCAGGAAAAUGGUGUAAAUCUCGGGCAUAGAUUGACUGGAUUAUUCGUAUUCAUGAUAUACCAGGUUGGAUUCACUAUUCAAAGAUGCUUUUGGAAUUGAUUUUUACAGCAUGUGUAUACUUUAUAAGUACACAAAUAA